RNAcentral lists this long non-coding RNA (839 nucleotides) under Homo sapiens (human). Its description in RNAcentral is "HSALNT0041053". The record is from RNAcentral. Lineage: Eukaryota; Metazoa; Chordata; Mammalia; Primates; Hominidae.
UCAACCCAAUUAGUAUUGGGAGUAAAAUUCAAUCAUUUUUACAAAUUAUGCACACAUUCAAUUGGAUGGGAUUGCACAGGGGGUGCGUGUACAAAAGGAAGUAGAAAUCUCAGGGACCAUCUUAGAAUUUGCAUAUCAUAGUGACAGAAACAAUGCAACAUGGAGUGGUUUCACAUAGUGUGUUGGGAACAUGGUUAGUUGCACAACAUAACUGAAGAAAUCAAUUGUGAAAUAAUUUUGGAAAUGCCAGUUUGGAAAACACAAACAGACACACACAGACACACACAGACACACACACACACACACACACACACACACACAAAAAUAAGUACCUCAAAUCUUUAAGCCAUUGUAAUGGGUUAUAUUGUCUUAGCAUUUAAAAUGAGAGUGCAAGGGACCUACUGUCCAAUAGACUUAAUAAUCUUGAGACAUCUUGUCAACUCUUCCUAAAAACUCUGAUAAUGACUAUAGUUUACCUGUAGCUAGGAAUUUUUCAUUAUAUUGUAAAGGGUUGUGAAAAACAAAAAAGAAAAGAAGAAUAAGAAAAGAAGAAGGAGAAGAAGAAAAUAGGAAGAAGAAGAAGAAGAAGAAGACGGAGAAGAAGAAGAAGAUAAAGAGGAGGAUGCAGUGUGGUGAAAAGAUGAGGAGGAGAAGGAGGACAAAGUAACUAUGCAUGAUCCUCCAAACCUAAAAUAUUUAUUAUGUGGCUGUUUAUGGAAAAAGAUGCUGUCGCCUGACUCUAACUUCUAAGCACAAAACCCAAAGGCAGUCUUCAACUUGGACAUUUUAGAGGAUGAGUGCUAAAGAAAUUACCUCAAAGUUUGUGUUAAAAUGCAAAC